AGUCACUGACAUUAGAUACCCGCGUAGUCCUAGCCGUAAACGAUACUCGCUAGGUGUCGGCCACGGUGCGACCGUUGUCGGUGCCGUAGGGAAGCCGUGAAGCGAGCCACCUGGGAAGUACGGCCGCAAGGCUGAAACUUAAAGGAAUUGGCGGGGGAGCACCACAACGGGUGGAGCUUGCGGUUUAAUUGGAUUCAACGCCGGAAAUCUUACCGGGACCGACAGCAACAUGAAGGCCAGGCUGAAGACUUUGCCGGAUUAGCUG
This 265-nucleotide ribosomal RNA is filed under the name uncultured archaeon. RNAcentral describes it as "partial 16S ribosomal RNA". It matches the Rfam family "Archaeal small subunit ribosomal RNA", at positions 715 to 982 of the family's 1478-position model. The record is from RNAcentral.